RNAcentral lists this ribosomal RNA (853 nucleotides) under uncultured Bacillota bacterium. RNAcentral describes it as "bacterial SSU rRNA". It matches the Rfam family "Bacterial small subunit ribosomal RNA", at positions 58 to 922 of the family's 1533-position model. The record is from RNAcentral. Lineage: Bacteria; Bacillati; Bacillota.
CAAGUCGAACGAUUAAACUUUCCUUCGGGAAAGAUAUAAAGUGGCGCACGGGUGAGUAACACGUAAGUAAUCUACCUUCGAGUGGGGAAUAACGUCCGGAAACGGACGCUAAUACCGCAUAAUGCAGCGGCAUCUAAUGAUGACAGUUGUUAAAGAUUUAUCGCUUGAAGAGGAGCUUGCGGCAGAUUAGCUAGUUGGUAAGGUAACGGCUUACCAAGGCUACGAUCUGUAACCGGUCUAAGAGGACGGUCGGUCACACUGACACUGAAUAACGGGUCAGACUCCUACGGGAGGCAGCAGUCGGGAAUUUUGGGCAAUGGGCGAAAGCCUGACCCAGCAACGCCGCGUGAAGGAUGAAGUAUUUCGGUAUGUAAACUUCGAAAGAAUGGGAAGAAUCAAUGACGGUACCAUUUAUAAGCUCCGGCUAACUACGUGCCAGCAGCCGCGGUAAUACGUAGGGAGCAAGCGUUGUUCGGAUUUACUGGGCGUAAAGGGCGCGUAGGCGGCAAUUCAAGUCAGCUGUGAAAUCUCCGGGCUUAACUCGGAACGGUCAGCUGAUACUGCUUUGCUAGAGUGCGGAAGGGGCAAUCGGAAUUCUCGGUGUAGCGGUGAAAUGCGUAGAUAUCGAGAGGAACACCUGAGGUGAAGACGGGUUGCUGGGCCGACACUGACGCUGACAGCGCGAAAGCCAGGGGAGCAAACGGGAUUAGAUACCCCGGUAGUCCUGGCCCUAAACGAUGAAUACUUGGUGUCUGGAGUUAUUAGUGCUCCGGGUGCCGUCGCUAACGUUUUUAGUAUCCCGCCUGGGGAGUACGCUCGCAAGAGUGAAACUCAAAGGAAUUGACGGGGACCC